RNAcentral lists this ribosomal RNA (448 nucleotides) under uncultured bacterium. RNAcentral's name for it is "bacterial SSU rRNA". It matches the Rfam family "Bacterial small subunit ribosomal RNA", at positions 329 to 794 of the family's 1533-position model. The record is from RNAcentral.
AGCCAGACUCCUACGGGAGGCAGCAGUGGGGGAUAUUGCACAAUGGGGGAAACCCUGAUGCAGCGACGCCGCGUGGGUGAAGAAGCGCCUCGGCGCGUAAAGCCCUGUCAGCAGGGAAGAAAAUGACGGUACCUGAAGAAGAAGCCCCGGCUAACUACGUGCCAGCAGCCGCGGUAAUACGUAGGGGGCAAGCGUUAUCCGGAUUCACUGGGCGUAAAGGGAGCGCAGGCGGCACGGCAAGUCUGAUGUGAAAGCCCGGGGCUCAACCCCGGGACUGCAUUGGAAACUGCCGGGCUGGAGUGUCGGAGGGGUAAGCGGAAUUCCUAGUGUAGCGGUGAAAUGCGUAGAUAUUAGGAGGAACACCAGUGGCGAAGGCGGCCUACUGGACGGUGACUGACGCUGAGGCUCGAAAGCGUGGGGAGCAAACAGGAUUAGAUACCCGUGUAGC